RNAcentral lists this ribosomal RNA (1212 nucleotides) under Silurus asotus (Amur catfish). Its description in RNAcentral is "partial 16S ribosomal RNA". It matches the Rfam family "Bacterial large subunit ribosomal RNA", at positions 701 to 2563 of the family's 2925-position model. Lineage: Eukaryota; Metazoa; Chordata; Actinopteri; Siluriformes; Siluridae. The record is from RNAcentral.
UUUAGUUCAAACCCCCGAAACUAAGUGAGCUACCCCGAGACAGCCUAUCAAUUAGGGCCAACCCAUCUCUGUGGCAAAAGAGUGGGAAGAGCUCCGGGUAGAGGUGACAAACCUACCGAACUUAGUUAUAGCUGGUUACCUAAGAAAUGAAUAAAAGUUCAGCCUCGCACUCCUUGCCUCACAAACAUCUAAAGCCUACACGAGCCAAAGAAAUAUGCGAGAGUUAGUCAAAGGGGGUACAGCCCCUUUGAAACAGGACACAACCUCACACAGGAGGUUAAAGAUUAUACUAAACAAGAUACACCGCUUUAGUGGGCCUAAAAGCAGCCACCUAAGCAGAUAGCGUUAAAGCUCCAGCGGACUAAAAAUCUAUUAUCCAAAUAAUUUAUCUAAAACCCCUAACAAUAUUAGGUCGCCCCAUGCCUACAUGGAAAAGAUACUGCUAAAAUGAGUAAUAAGAAGGAACCCCCUUCUCCUAGCCUACGUGUAUAUUAGAUCGGACCCCCCCACUAAUAAUUAUCGAACCCAACCAAAGAGGGUAAUGUGACCACACUAAACAACAAGAAAACAUCACACCACCAAAUCGUUAAUCCCACACCGGAAGGCCCACAAGGAAAGACUAAAAGAAAAGGAAGGAACUCGGCAAACCCAAGCCUCGCCUGUUUACCAAAAACAUCGCCUCCUGCAAAAUCAAUGUAUAGGAGGUCCUACCUGCCCAGUGACAAGUUAAACGGCCGCGGUAUUUUGACCGUGCGAAGGUAGCGCAAUCACUUGUCUUUUAAAUGAAGACCUGUAUGAAUGGUGGAACGAGGGCUUAACUGUCUCCCUUUUCCAGUCAAUGAAAUUGAUCUGCCCGUGCAGAAGCGGACAUAUUAAUACAAGACGAGAAGACCCUUUGGAGCUUAAGAUAAAAGAUCAACUAUGUCAAGAAACUAAGAACAUAGCUUAAACUAAGUAGCGACUGAUCCUUGUCUUCAGUUGGGGCGACUGCGGAAGAAAACAAAGCUUCCACGAGGAUUGGGACAAAUAUCCUAAAGCCGAGAAAGACACUUCUAAGCCACAGAACAUCUGACCAUAUAAGAUCCGGCCACCAGCCGAUCAACGGACCAAGUUACCCUAGGGAUAACAGCGCAAUCCCCUUUCAGAGUUCAUAUCGACAAGGGGGUUUACGACCUCGAUGUUGGAUCAGGACAUCCUAAUGGUGCAGCCGCU